Long non-coding RNA from Zea mays, 935 nucleotides. RefSeq lists it as uncharacterized. The record is from RefSeq and is a predicted model, not a curated record. The transcript has 5 exons. NCBI's taxonomy places the organism in Eukaryota, Viridiplantae, Streptophyta, Magnoliopsida, Poales, Poaceae.
AUGAAUGCAGCAAGGAUUAGAGAAGGGAAUUUAUUAAGGGCUGACAGAGUUGCUACUGCACAUAAGGCCAAACCAAGAGAGUUCCAAAUAGAAAAUAGAGUUGACAACAAGCGUGCCAAUGCAUCAAAGGGUAUGAACAAGGAUGCAACAUCUAAAUGCUCACAACAAAUAAACUAUCAGGCUGGCACUCCCGUAUACAUAAAGAGCUGGAGACAUAAAAGUAAGAAUGUUGCCUUAGGGACAAUACUGAGUGUUGAUCCAAAUCAGAAAGUUGGAGGCCUUGAGCUAGGCAAAGAAUUUUAUAUGCUGCGUGUUGGUCUUACCUCUGUGCCUGAUGAGCCACUAAUACGAUCAUAUGACAACUUCCAAGUUAUCGGAGACGUAGGCAAAAAUCCUAUAGCAUGGCCUUCAAGUUGUGUUGCAAAGAGUGUCAGCCAAUCAUAUUGAUUUAGCCAGAUUUGUGUGACUUUGAACUCAUCAUACUUGCUGAUGCAAUUAUCUAGACCAAACCUAUCUGUUAAGUAUACAUUUUGUCAAUUAAUCAAGCAAUGCCUCUUUGUAAUUAUUUUGUGAACCUGAAAAGUAAAUGACUACUCCCUCCAGUUUAUCAUUCAAUCUCUCCAGUUUAUCAUUCAAGUUGAGUUUAGAUUCUUCCCUAAAUGUUAUUUUUAAUUCAUUUUCAGGUUGGAACCCAUAGAAUGCAAGGUCUACUGGAAUGGUGCUUUCACUGGUCAUUUGAAUUGGUUCAAGAGAAGAGUCGAUUGCAACUAGACUCCUAUAUGUAUAUGUUGCUUUCACAGAAAACAUGUUUUAGAACACACAUUAUGUGAUAGAUUAUGUUUUGGAUGAAACUCUGUAAUCGGAUAUUUUGUUUUAAAUAUAGAAUUUAGAGUUGUGCGCAUUUAGCAUUGUGUCUUAUGAUGAUGGAAAAAUUC